UAAUACGAGGGGGGCAAGCGUUGUUCGGAAUUAUUGGGCGUAAAGGGAGCGUAGGCGGUUUUGUAAGUCGUGUGUGAAAUCUUCGGGCUCAACCCGAAGUCUGCACACGAAACUGCAGGGCUUGAGUAUGGGAGAGGUGAGUGGAAUUCCUGGUGUAGCGGUGAAAUGCGUAGAUAUCAGGAGGAACACCUGUGGCGAAAGCGGCUCACU
Molecule: ribosomal RNA, 210 nt
Filed under: uncultured bacterium
Lineage: Bacteria
Description: partial 16S ribosomal RNA
Rfam family: Bacterial small subunit ribosomal RNA
Source: RNAcentral